UACGUAGGGUGCGAGCGUUAAUCGGAAUUACUGGGCGUAAAGCGUGCGCAGGCGGUUAUUUAAGUCAGGUGUGAAAGCCCUGGGCUUAACCUAGGAAUUGCGCUUGAGACUGGAUAGCUUGGAGUGCGGCAGAGGGAGGUGGAAUUCCACGUGUAGCAGUGAAAUGCGUAGAGAUGUGGAGGAACACCGAUGGCGAAGGCAGCCCCCCUGGGCUAGCACUGACGCUCAGGCACGAAAGCGUGGGGAGCAAACAGG
RNAcentral lists this ribosomal RNA (255 nucleotides) under uncultured bacterium. Its description in RNAcentral is "partial 16S ribosomal RNA". It matches the Rfam family "Bacterial small subunit ribosomal RNA", at positions 524 to 776 of the family's 1533-position model. The record is from RNAcentral.